CCAACCAUUUAUUCAACUGUAACAUGUAAAUAAGUAGGAAAGAUGUGUGACCGAGUCUUGACUUUGGACAUCCUACAUAUCUCGAGUUAUAAGAGAAUCAGGUCACGUGUAGUUCAAAUUGAUGUAGGAGUGGAAGGGUGAAUUAGAGAGUCGAGUUGAGAUCCCAUCGAGUUUCCGGUUUGUGGUUCCUUUUACUACAUCAAAAAAGAAAAGGUGAAACUAUAAAUGAAAAAUACAAGCUCCUAUCCAUUCUAUUGGUCUUGAUUCUCUUGCUUCAAAUCUUCCUCUUGGAUCUUUGGUUAUCGCCUCACCUUCUUUAGGUGGGUACCUUGAUCAAAAUUUGAUCUUGAAGUUAGGAUUUGAGACUUGAAACUUGGAUUGAGUCAUUGACACUCUUCCAAAGGACAAUUCAUAGAAUAACUUUGGAUGUUUGUUCUCCUGAUCAGAAGUUGAAAUAUGUCUCUUGAGAUGUUGGGCCGCAAUGGAUGCAAAGCUGACUCUAACUAUCUUCAAACUGAUCAUUCUUCUAUAUUCUGACUGAAGACGGGAUUUCAUUCUUGAAUAUACAUGUGCUUUGAAGAAAAACCUGCAAGCCAUCAAAAAAAACAAAAUAAAACAAAUAAUUUUUUUUCUUCUUUUUUUGCCCCAAUUUGCACUCGAAAAAUUUUGUGAGUUGUUAGAGAAACUACACAAUAAUAAAUAAAAAUCAUAGAAAUCAAAGCUAGGUAUGCAAUAAAAUAAGAUUUUUGUUCUCAAUAAUGCAACUAAAUGAUGUUAUGCCUUGUGAAUGCAUGAAAAAAAAAUUAGGAUUUUUGCUUCUUAAAAUGCGACUAGGGAUUGUCAUACCCUAUGAAGACAUAAAGAAGGAAAAUAGGAAGGUUUAUUUCCUAAAAUGUUAACUAGUUUAUUUUUUAAAAUGUCAACUAGGGAAUGACGCCCUAUGAAGACGAGAUAAGAUGUCAACUAGGGGAUGGCGCCCUAUGAAAAUCAAAUAAGAUGUCAACUAGGGGAUGAUGUCCUAUGAAGAUGAAUAAGAUAUCAACUAGGGGAUGACGCCCUAUUAAGACGAAUAAGAUGUCAACUAGGGGAUGACGCCCUAUGAAGACGAGAUAAGAUGUCAACUAGGGGACGACACCCUAUGAAGACGAAUAAGAUAUCAACUAGGGGAUGGCGCCCUAUGAAGACAAAUAAGAUGUCAACUAGGGGAUGACACCCUAUGAAGACGAGAUAAGAUGUCAACUAGGGGAUGACACCCUAUGAAGAUAAGAUAAGAUGUCAACUAGGGGAUGGCGCCCUAUGAAGACGAAUAAGAUGUCAAUUAGGGAAUGACGCCCUAUGAAGACGAAUAAGAUAUCAACUAAGGGAUGACACCCUAUGAAGAUGAGAUGAGAUGUCAACUAGGGGAUGACGCCCUAUGAAGAUGAAUAAGAUGUCAACUAGGGGAUGACGCCCUAUGAAGACGAGAUAAGAUGUCAGCUAGGGGAUGACGCCCUAUGAAGACGAAUAAGAUGUCAAUUAGGGGAUGGUGCCCUAUGAAGACAAAUAAGAUGUCAACUAGGGGAUGACGUCCUAUGAAGAUGAGAUAAGAUGUCAACUAGGGGAUGACACCCUAUGAAGACGAAAUAAGAUGUUAACUAGGGGAUGACGCCCUAUGAAGACGAAUCCAAUAUCAACUAGGGGAUGGAGCCCUAUGAAGACAAAUAAGAUGUCAACUAGGGGAUGACACCCUAUGAAGACGAGAUAAGAUGUCAACUAGGGGAUGACGCCCUAUGAAGACGAAAUAAGAUGUCCAUUACGGGAUGACUCCCUAUGAAGACAAAUAAGAUGUCAACUAGGGGAUGACGCCCUAUGAAGAUGAGAUAAGAUGUCAACUAGGGGAUGACGCCCUAUGAAGAUGAUAUAAGAUAUCCACUAGGAGAUGACGGGCUAUGAGACGAAAUAAGAAUUAGGAAAUUUUUGUUCCCUAAAGAGUACUGAAGAGAUGUUUUACCUAUUGAGGAAAGUGAGAUUUUUUUAUUUUUAUAUAUAUAUAUAUAUAUAAAAUAUGCCCCAGUUUUGGAUGCAAGGAACUUUGAAUUUUUUUUUUAAUAAAAAAAAUGCCCCAGUAUUAUACCUUUUAGGGAUGUAAAAAAUAAUAAUUAUUCUGCGAUACCGAAUCCUAUUGUAGGAUUGCCUACGUAUCUUGCAUAGCAAGAAUCAGGUCUAACGUAGUUCACGAAGCUUAACAUAUUUUUUAUUUUUUUAAAAGUAUGUGCUUUAUAAAGAUUCAGAGAAUGAAAAGAAUGAAAUCAAUUUAUUUCUUGACUUCAAUUGGUACCAACAAUUAGCAUCAUGAUCGAAUUAUCUCUAAUUACUUUCGAGCAAAAAUUAAGAUCAACAUUAGAAGUGAUUCCUAUAGUUUCAAGUGGUACCUCGAAUAUGCUUAAGUUUCGACAUGUUCCAUUUAUCUUGCCUGAAUCAAGGAUUUAAAGUUCUUCUUAUCCUCAUGUUUCAAGUGUCCUUGCCACAACUAAAAUCCUAAUUCACUCAUAUUAAAAAAAAAUUAGAUUUUAGGACAUUGAAGAAUUCCUCACACUCAAAAAGAUAUUCAACGCAUGCAAUGAGAUACCAUAAGCUUGACAAUCAUGUAAGUAUCCACUAAUAUGAGAACACUCAAAAUGAAAUCAUGUAGGACUUAUCAUUGGUUGAUAUUGUAGGCUUAGGGACAGGUAGGAUGAUAUUUGAAAGUCAAGUGACUAAUUUCUCAAUGAGCACUGCAUUAUUUUCUUGCUUUUAUCAUUUAUUGCGGUUUGAUGCUCGAUCUUCUUUGUUGUGCUUCUUUGCCCCUUGUUGUGUAUUUGCUUCGACUUUGUUUGUAUCUUGUGCUGGAGCUUUUCCCCUUUUCUUUUCAAUAAAAGUAUUAUUAUUAUUAUUAUUAUUAUUAUUUUAAUUCUUUUUUAUGAAGAUUCUCCAUCUUUGUUGAAGUUUUUUUUUUAAUUGGGUUCUUGCUCCUUCUUCUUUGAAGUCGUCUUUUGUUUUUGUUCUCCUGGGCUAUACGUUCUUUGCCUCUGACGCCUUUGAUCUUGAAUCUUCAUUUGCAACUUGUACUUAUUUAGUGUGCUCAAUGAAGUAGGCCAAAAGAGGGAUAAUGCAUAUAAGCACUCGAAAGGUAUAGGCUCAGAUGUGGUUAUCCAAAGAAAAGGUUUUAGGAUCAAAGGGAGAAGUGCUGGGGAUUAAUGUCAUUUGGUGAGUUGUGGAAUGCACAAUCGAAUUAAAGAAGGCCUACGAUCCUUUCCCAAACUAAGUUUAUCUCAAAAUUUUGCCUCAACAGACAUUCAAGUCAAGUUCUAGAUCAACAGAGCGAUGCCUUUGAAUUUUCAAUCUAAAGCUCACCACUCAAUGCACAUGAAACAGUGAGGUAAGAUUUUAUUUUAAACUUGACUUAGAACAAGAAAACUUUACAAGUGAACUUUAGUAUAAUUAGAGGCAUCAAAAGAAUCUGUAGUUCACAAUCAAGUUGGUCCAUUCUAUCGUAUCUCAUAAUACACUUAAUUUUUUUUCAAUUCAUAUUUUUAAGUAUGUUGGUACCAAUUAUUAGGUCAAGAUUUAUUUUUUUUAGAUGAGACUGAACUCAAAAGAAGAGUUGCCUACGUAUCUUGUUGAAACAAGAAUCAAGUCAAACGUAGUUCAGGAAGCUUAAAAGAUGAAGUCAAAACUUUUUUUUUUUUUUGAAUUUUGAAUUAGGAAAAACUUUUUUUUUUAUUUUCUAUUUUUGUUUUUGAAAUCUUAAUAAACACCUUUUUUUUAAUUUGAAAUUUUAUAAAACCCCUUUUUUUUUUUUUUUUUUUACUUUAUAUAAGUAUUUCUUUUAGAUGAAGACUAACGUCCUUUUUUUUUUCAAAUUUAAUGAGGAUCACCGAACCUAAGAAAGGUUGCCUACGUAUCUCAUUAAGAUGAGAAUCAGGUGUGCGUAGUUCGUGAAGCAGGAGACAUGAAGAAAUCCGCUUUUUAUUUGAAAAAAAAAAGAUUUUAUUGAAUUUAUUAAUAAUUUUUUUUAAAAUUUUUGAAAAUAAAUUGAUUGAUUUUUUUUUUAUAAGGAUCAAAACUUUUCUUUUUCUUUUCUUAAGAAAAUACAACCUUCAUUUUUUAGGAUCACCGAACCCGUGGAGGGCUGCCUACGUAUCUCGCGGAGAUGAGAAUCAGGUGUGCGUAGUUCGUCCAAAUUGCGUCAAACUCAAUAAUUUAUAAAAUUAUUUUUUUGUCUUUUAUUGUGAAAGCAAAUCUCGCACCUUAUUUGAGUUUAGGAAAAGGAUAGAUUUUGGAGAGCAAUUUUCAGCCUCUCUUACGCUAAUGGAUUCCAAAGCCGAACAACAUUCAAAACAGCCUAACAGUUAAUGCAAGUAGUGACACAAAAAAUGAAUAGUCUUAAAAUAGGAUACUUUUAGACAUUCAAAACUUUGUCGAGCCUCCACUGAGUUAAAAAUCCACUUUAUGCAAAUAAAGUGGAGCCUAAUAGGGAUAAUCAUGUCCAAGUUUCAAUUCUACUAGGUUUAACCUGGCGGAGUUAGGUAUCUAGACUGACUGUAAAAUGAGAGGACAACUCAAGUCGGGCAAGGACAGCUUUAUCGAUAGCAGGGUUUUUCGGCCUCACUGUUGGUCCCUUCUUGUCCUAAAUCAUUGGUAACUACAGAAUUCUUCCCAGGAGCGUCGCCGCAUCUCUGGUAUCUCAAGCUCGGGAGCGUAUACCGUAUCUCUGAGUAUAAAGUAUCUCAGAAGACUCAGAUGAGUGCGCAAGAGAAGACAGUUUAUAUUGCAAUUCAAAUAAUAUCAAAGCAGAACAUGUAGGCAAAUAAUACAUUUAGGCCAACAAUAUGCAAUAUUAAAAUUAAAUAAAGCAAAACAAGUCAAUAUAAAAGCUCGAAUUCUGAUUAUAUCCACAGCAGAGUCUCCAUCUGUCACACCCCUAUUUUACCGCAUCCGACCCCGCGAGGGAGAUGGUUUUGAGAAAAAUGAGUUUUUUCAAAUAAAGUGACAUUUUGAGUAGAAAUUAUUUUAUUUACAGAGUCGCCACUUGGCAUUGAGUUUGGGUGUUCACCUUAUUGUAUCCUCAAUUUUGUUUUAUUGGUCUGCGAACUAGAAAUCCGGAUAAGGAAUUCUGUUGACCGAGGGGAAGGUGCGAGGCACCCCUCGAGUCCCGUGGUUCUGGUACGGUCGCUUUAAUGAUUUACUUGUGACUUAAAUUAAUCUCUUGGAUACAUAAUAUUUGUUAGCCUAAAAGUUACUUACAUCCUACUUGAUUUAUUUAAAAUUAUUUAAUAAUGUGUGGCUUGUCGGUAGCAGUACUUUCCGAUCAUGCCAAGGGUUUGGAUAUAUUUCUCACGCCUUUGAGUCCUUUAUGGAUCGUCUCCAUUUUUCUAGUCUAAAUAACACCUAAUAGGUCUAGAAUCUACCCAACUCGAUUCAAACGGCUUCAAAUGGUAUAUUAAAUUUUAUUAUAACGAAUGGUCAGGAGUAGGGCUUUCCAACUUCAUCGUUAACUUUCACUUGUAUAUUAAACAUUUAAAUUUUUUCUUUCGAUCACAAACCUACGCUUAUUUUUUAUUAAACCCUUAUGUUCUAGUAUAGCUUAUGAAAGGGAAAGUCACUGUGUCGUUUAUUUCAAAUAUAAUAACUAUUAGUUAAUAAUUAUCCUAUUAAAUGAUUACCUUUUUUUUUAACUCUACCUUUGUAAAAAUAAAGGCAAACAAAACACUGUUUUCUCUAAUGUGUGCUUCCUAUAAUAGUUACUGCUACUAUUGAAUAAAAAAAGUUUGUGUUUCUUGCAUUUAAUUAUUCUUGUUUAGCUUUACUAAUUAAUUAUUCAUGUAAUAAAAAUGCAUGCCAAAACACUCACGGUGACAAAAAUAUAAAUUUAUUAUCUAAGUCGAUAAAAUUUACUAAUCACAUAUAAAUUUAAUAUUGACUUACUCUCACACUUUUAGCCGAUGAAAAGACAUAAUAGCGUGGCGUAAAAUAUAAAAUUAAAAAAUGACUUUGAGAUAACAAAAGGAGAUUCACGUGAUUACAGGCAAUUGAAGUAAUUAAAAUGUAUUGUCAUUAGAAUUAAAAGUUUUAAAAAUAACUAAGCCAGAAAUAAAGUUCAGAUCUAUUCUUUGUGGUGUUAAACCAAAUAGACAAAUACGAUAUUAUUCUAGCAAUAACUAAAUAGUAACUAAACAAAAUCAUUAGGACUAUUUUACGUUAAUUUACUCUAAAUUUAACAAUAUUAAAUUUGAACAUACUUGUGGUAGUACCAUAAAAAUAUAUAAUAUCUAGAGAAAUAAUUCAAACACAUACGAAUUUUGAGCAACUUUGUAUUAUUGAAAUCAAGCCUCGCAUAUUGUGAUGUUACAUAAUACAAAGAAAUACUGAGGGUUACCUUUUCUGAAAGUAAUUCACAACAAUAGCAAAACGAAGCUACGAACUCAAAAUCAUGAACCAAACCUCAAACUCUAAUUUGUUGUAUACUCGUUUCCCUCUUCUUUUCUCGUUUUUGUUUUUUCUCACUAUUUUUGCUUUCUUUCUUCUUUCUGUCCCUUAUUGUGCGUUGUAUUGUGCAUGUGAUUUUGUGUGUACAUCUCUUUUCUCCUCCUUAUCCCCUCUAU
This 6623-nucleotide long non-coding RNA is filed under the name Capsicum annuum. RNAcentral's name for it is "long non-coding RNA (CANN_LNC008815)". The record is from RNAcentral. Lineage: Eukaryota; Viridiplantae; Streptophyta; Magnoliopsida; Solanales; Solanaceae.